This 368-nucleotide ribosomal RNA is filed under the name Pseudomonas sp. 86_b. RNAcentral describes it as "bacterial SSU rRNA". It matches the Rfam family "Bacterial small subunit ribosomal RNA", at positions 97 to 469 of the family's 1533-position model. Lineage: Bacteria; Pseudomonadati; Pseudomonadota; Gammaproteobacteria; Pseudomonadales; Pseudomonadaceae. The record is from RNAcentral.
GGCGGACGGGGGAUUAAUGCCUGGGGAUCUGCNCGGUCCAGGGGGAUAACAGUUGGAAACGACUGCUAAUACCGCAUACGCCCUACGGGGGAAAGGAGGGGACCUUCGGGCCUUUCGCGAUUGGAUGAACCCUGGUGGGAUUAGCUAGGUGGUGGGGUAAUGGCUCACCAAGGCGACGAUCCCUUGCUGGUCUGAGAGGAUGAUCAGCCACUGUGGAACUGAGACACCGCCCACACUCCUACGGGAGGCAGAAUUGGGGAAUAUUGCACAAUGGGGGAAACCCUGAUGCAGCCAUGCCGCGUGUGUGAUGAAGGCCUUCGGGUUGUUAAGCACUUUCAGCGAGGAGGAAAGGUUGAUGCCUAAUACGU